RNAcentral lists this long non-coding RNA (654 nucleotides) under Callithrix jacchus (white-tufted-ear marmoset). RNAcentral's name for it is "lncRNA (ENSCJAG00000061843.2)". The record is from RNAcentral. Lineage: Eukaryota; Metazoa; Chordata; Mammalia; Primates; Cebidae.
CCACCCGCCCCACCCCAACCCACACUGUAACUCCUUGGAGCCCCUGUGAGAGUGGUCCCAGGUGGAGAAGCUGUGCCUGAAAAAGUUGGAAGUAAUGUGAGAUGGGUGGUACCAGUGCUGGAACUGGUGUGACAGCUGUGGCUGGAGUACAUGUGGGCUGAGAGGACCCAGGCAGGCCACCAGAGGUGUGACCUACAGUGCAGAAAGGCUGGUAGAAAAGAAAGCAGAGUUGGGCAUGGAGGAGAUGCCAUACAGAGAACCAUCUCAGUCUGGUGACCCCCACCCAGGUGAUGCUGAAGGUAUUGAGAGGCAGACACCCAGAUAGAACAAUAGAGUGGACCUAUCUGGGGGACCAACAUCCUAAGAGCUGAGAGGCUGACAGCGUUCCGGGCUGAAGGCCCCAAGCAGAUUCUCAUCCAUGUAUGUAUUUGCUCUUAAACAGGUGAGUCUUAUUAAUACACAGGUGCCCUACAUUUACUCAUAAGUCAAGAAUAUGCUAAGUAGGCAGCUGUUACCUGACUACCAUUGAUUACAAAUGAAAAGAUGUCCUCACAGAGGAGCCAUGGGGGCAGGGUAAACUAAAUGUUUCUCAACAUUCCCAUACUGCCCUCUGCUCCCCUCCCAGUGCCUUCCAUGAAUGGACUCCCAACAGAA